GGGGGGUUUGGAGGAGGAGAAACUCUCCGAUGGGAAAGAGAAAGAGGAGGAGGAGGAGGGUGGGAAUCUGGGAAAGCAGAAUGAGAGAGCGGAGGAAGGCUGAUAAAGUUUUCCUGCAGCUGGAGUUUGAGUCGGUCACAGACUGCUUUUCUUCUGCUCGCAGCACACAAACGGAGGAUUUAAAGAGCUGGAGCAGAGGAGCAGACAGCAGAAGGAAUAGCAGAGAGGAUCAUGAGUGUGGAUGCCGUCUUUCCUGGGCUCAGAUUUCACAAAAUGAGAGACCACUGCACUACUGCAGGGCGCAUGCAACAGAGCAAGGAUGCCAUCUGCUAGCACCAUGACUGGCGGGAGAGCAUUGCUGCUCUGUACAAACACAGAGGACUGCAUCUACCAAUCAGCAAACGGGCUCCACUGCUGCGGACUGAAGCUUGACCAGACCCAGUCUGUGGUGCUUCAGCGGUCAGACCUGUGUGGGGUCGGGGACAGUCUCUCGUCUCUCCCAAGCCCAGGACACACCAUCAUGCUUGCCCACAAGAGUCCCUCCAACCCUCGGCACAUCGAGAAUGGUCUGAGCAGCAAAUCUCCCAGGACUCCCUCUGGGCUUAAAAGCGUAGCAAGUAUUCGGGACAAGAUUUCCCAAUGGGAAGGUAAAACUGAGACCAUCGGCUCAAACACCCAAACAGUGGCACUGAAGGACGCUGAAGCUGGGAAGAAAACAGGACAGCCUGAAGUACAAAGGAAAGACAGCAAGAGACUUUUCA
RNAcentral lists this long non-coding RNA (761 nucleotides) under Danio rerio (zebrafish). RNAcentral describes it as "lncRNA si:dkey-82f1.1 (ENSDARG00000096850.3)". The record is from RNAcentral. Lineage: Eukaryota; Metazoa; Chordata; Actinopteri; Cypriniformes; Danionidae.